Molecule: ribosomal RNA, 796 nt
Filed under: uncultured archaeon
Lineage: Archaea
Description: bacterial SSU rRNA
Rfam family: Archaeal small subunit ribosomal RNA
Source: RNAcentral
ACGGCUCAGUAACACGUGGCCAAACUACCCUCUGGAGCGCGACAACCUCGGGAAACUGAGGCUAAUCGCGCAUACCGCUCUCAGGCUGGAACUGCCGAGAGCGCGAAAUGCCCCGGCGCCAGAGGAUGUGGCUGCGGCCGAUUAGGUAGACGGUGGGGUAACGGCCCACCGUGCCAGUAAUCGGUACGGGUUGUGAGAGCAAGAGCCCGGAGACGGUAUCUGAGACAAGAUACCGGGCCCUACGGGGCGCAGCAGGCGCGAAACCUUUACACUGCACGCCAGUGCGAUAAGGGGACUCCAAGUGCGAGGGCAUAGAGCCCUCGCUUUUCUGUACCGUAAGGUGGUACAAGAAUAAGUGCUGGGCAAGACCGGUGCCAGCCGCCGCGGUAAUACCGGCAGCACGAGUGAUGGCCGCUCUUAUUGGGCCUAAAGCGUCCGUAGCUGGCCGCGCAAGUCCAUCGGGAAAUCCGCACGCCUAACGUGCGGGCGUCCGGUGGAAACUGCGUGGCUUGGGACCGGAAGAUCCAGAGGGUACGUCUGGGGUAGGAGUGAAAUCCUGUAAUCCUGGACGGACCACCGGUGGCGAAAGCGCUCUGGAAGGACGGAUCCGACGGUGAGGGACGAAAGCUCGGGUCACGAACCGGAUUAGAUACCCGGGUAGUCCGAGCUGUAAACGAUGUCUGCUAGGUGUGCCACGGGCUACGAGCCUGUGGUGUGCCGUAGGGAAGCCGUGAAGCAGACCGCCUGGGAAGUACGUCCGCAAGGAUGAAACUUAAAGGAAUUGGCGGGGGAGCAC